RNAcentral lists this long non-coding RNA (20368 nucleotides) under Citrus maxima (pomelo). Its description in RNAcentral is "long non-coding RNA (CMAX_LNC001594)". Lineage: Eukaryota; Viridiplantae; Streptophyta; Magnoliopsida; Sapindales; Rutaceae. The record is from RNAcentral.
GCUUCACAAGAAGGAGACCUGUGAGGCUGUUACCAUUAUUGAAGCCCCUCCAAUGGUGGUGGUUGGAGUUGUGGGAUAUGUGAAGACACCUCGUGGUCGUGGUCUUCGCUCUUUGAACACUGAGCGAGCUUGUUUUUAAGUUAUAGAGGCAUAGAGCGAGUGAAUGGAUAAGAUCCGUCUGAUGGAUGCCACGAGGGAUAAUAUCUGCGGCGGGCGGUUAGUUGCGAGUCUUGAGACCUUAACGGUUUUGUACGUGACUUGUUCAUCUUCCGACUGUCACCGUCUGAUUUAAUAAUAAAGUUAAUUAGGGUCCGUUUGAAAUUAUUUUUAGAGAGAUUUAAAAAUAAUUUUAAAAAAUUAAAAUUUAAUUUUAACAUUUAAUUAUUUUUUAUAAAUUACUUUUGAAAAACUCGUCUUAAAUUAUUCUAAAUUAUUCUAUGAUAGAUUUUAAAAAACAUGAAUAGAGUAGUUUUUGAAAAUUUAAUUUUAAAAAUUAGUUUUAUAUCUGAUAAAAUUUUGUAUACAUCAUUACAUCCUCAUAUAUAUUACAAAAAUCUAAAAUUGUCUUUAUUAAUUAAGAAAUAAAAUGACUAACUUUAAAUAAAUUGUUAUUACCAUCAAUGAUAUUGAAAUAAUAAAAUAAAAAUAAAAUUAAUAAUAUAAAAUAUUUAUUUUAAUUACCUAUUAUUAUAUAUACACAAUAAAAAAUAUUAUAUAUAUAUAUAUAUGUUUAUAAAUGUAUAAAUAAAUUUCAAUCAAUAUUAUUUCAAAUUCGUAGUUCAAUAGUAAGAUUCACUAAAUAUAUAUGAAUAUUUCUAAAACAAUUGUUUUAAAAUUCACAGUAUUUUUAAAAAUAAAUUUUAUCAAAGGUUUAAUUAAUUAUAUUUAUAAUUGAUUAUUUUUAUAGUACAGUUAACCACCGUAAUUAUUUUUAAAGCUACAUAAUUAUUAAAUUUCCCCUUAAUUAAAUAAAUACAUUAUAAUUCAUUUUAUUAGGAGCUAAAACUUAAUUUUAAGCUGUUAGUAUAAAAUAACUUCCAAUGAACCAAAAUAUGUGUUCCAAAUUAGGAGCUAAAACUUUCCAUUUUAAGCUAAACAAAAACCGGCCUAAAAGCCCGCCUUGGCCUUAGCCUAAACCCAACUUGGGUUGCAAAACCCAGGCUUUGGUCUGGCCCAAGUGGUAUGGACCCAACAUUUUCGUGCAUUUCGUGAUUUUAUCCCUUAAAUAAUAUUUUUCAAAACUUCUACCCAACAGCUUAUCAAUUGUGAUAUUCUAAACCCUGAUAUUCCCUAAUCUGAAUUUAAAACUUAAAGCUCUGUUUGUUGAAAUUCAGAAGAAUUCCACAAUAAAAAAUAACAGAAGCUGAAUUUAAAGCUUAUCAAUUGUAAUUUAUCUUAGAUUGAUAAAUUAAAGAUGAAGCUGUCAUACCUCGUUGUUUAAUUAAUUAGUGUUUAUGAAGUAGAAGUACCAAUUAAUUAAAAAUAUUUAAAUAUGAUCAUAUAACAAUUGUAGUCUUUUGUUGAUUCCAAAAAAUUUAUCCAGGGAUAACUGCAUGACGUGGCAAAGGCUGAAGACUAAAGCUGAGGCCGUGUUUAAUAUUAUGGUUAAGCAUCUGUAGUUUAAAAGAGUACACACUUUAGUGUUUACCUGUAAUAUUUUUACUAUUCCGUAAAAUUAUUAUUUGAAAAACUAUAUUUAUCACACACUAUGAACUCUUUUCUUUUUCUUUUUCUUUUUGUCGUAACUACAAUUUUUUUUUCAUAGCAGUGAGUUUUGGGUGUUCAAAAUUUCAAACAACUACUAUAUUGAAUUUUAAUUUAACACUAAAAAUGGUGAAGCCCACAAAUAUUAUUAGAGAAUUCAGAAGGGAGAAAAAGAUAUUUUGAUUAAUAUUUUUUAUUAAAAAAAUAGUGGUCUAUGUUGACGAACCCUACAAAUUAAAUUUAAAUUUAAAUAAUGGUGAAUACUACGAUGUAUUAUCUAUAAAGGUUGUUGUUAAUUAGUUACCCCAUUGCAAUCAAUAUACCACAAAUUGAACAUGGCUUUGCUCAUCAUAUUCCUUGUGUCACUCCCAGUAAUCAUUUACUUUCUACAUCUCCAAAGGAAACGCAUAAACAAAGCCAAAACGACAAGCGGUUUAUUACCACCAGGACCUCGAGGUCUUCUCUUAAUCGGAAACCUACACCAGCUUGAAAGCACAAACCUUCAUUACCAACUCUGGAAUCUAUCCAAAAAAUAUGGCCCACUGAUGUCACUGCGCCUUGGCCUCGUGCAGACCGUAGUAGUUUCUUCAGUGAAAAUGGCUAAAGAAGCUCUGAAAACCCAUGAUGUUGAAUUUAGCGGCAGGCCGGCGUUGGUUGGCCAGCAAAAAUUAACCUACAAUGGGUUAGAUGUUGCCUUUGCCCCGUACAACGACUAUUGGAAAGAGAUGAGGAAAAUAUGUGUCACUCAUCUUUUUAAUGCCAGUAGAGUCCACCAUUUUCGUGCCGUGAGAGAAGAUGAGGUGGCACGUAUGAUCGAGAAAAUUUCAUCAUUAUCAUCAUCACCAGCAACGGCGGUGAUUAAUAUAAGUGAGUGUUUAAUGUCACUUACAAAUUCGGUCAUAUGUAUGGUUGCGUUUGGGAAGAAGUUUGAGAACAAAGCUGGCGAAAGAAGCAAGUUCCACUCGUUACUUGACGAGACUAGGGUUGUGUUGGGAGCCUUCUAUUUCAAAGAUUUUUUUCCUUUCUUGGGUGGUUUUUUUGAUAAGCUCUCGGGAAUCACUCGUCGUCUCGAAAACAACUUCAAAGAAUUUGAUGCAUUUUACCAACAACUCAUCGAGGAGCAUGCAGAUCCAAACAGACCAAAAGACCAAAUACGUGGGGAUAUAAUUGAUGUUUUACUUCAAGUUCAGAAAGAUCGUGCUGAGGAUGAAGUUCAUGGAUUCUCUCGGGAUAACAUCAAAGCUGUACUCAUGGUAAACUUAUACCUAAUAUUACUGUCGUAAAUUUUUUUAACUGUUAAAUGGGACUUUUUAAGGUUUAAAUAUUAUUCUUGUGGGGAUGUAUAUUAAAAUCAAAACAAAUCAAAUCUGCCAGUGAACAGUGUAUUUAAUAAGAACAAAUAUGUUUAUAUUUGGGACCAAAAGAUCAUUAGCCGGCAUGCGCACUAUUAUUAUUUAUGGAAUGAAAGUUUUUCGUUGCGUUCAGAACGUAUUUGUCGGUGCCACGGACACGAGUGCAGCUACAAUGACAUGGGCAAUGACUAACGUAAUGAAGAAUCCAAGAGUAAUGGAGAAAGCACAGAAGGAAGUGAGGGAUUUGAUCGGAAAUAAAGGGUUUGUAGAUGAAGAUGAUUUGCAAAAACUGCCAUAUAUCAAAGCCAUACUAAAAGAGACAUUCAGGUUGAAUCCGCCGGGUCCAAUAAUACCCAGAGAAACAACCAAGAGUUGCAUGAUAGAUGGAUACGAGAUACCAGCUAAGACACUUGUUUAUUUGAAUGGAUGGGCAAUAUCUAGAGAUCCCGAAGUUUGGGAGAGGCCAGAUGAAUUUGAUCCUGACAGAUUCAUCAUUGGCGAUAAGUCCUAUAUUGAAUUGACAGGACAAAAUAAUUAUGAGCUUAUACCAUUUGGUGGUGGCAGAAGAUUUUGUCCCGGGACUCAUAUGGGGAUUGCAACAUUGGAGCUUGCAAUUGCUAAUCUUCUUUACAAAUUUGAUUGGGAAAUGCCUGCUGGGAUGAAGAUUCAAGACUUGGAUUUUGACAUCGCCCCUGGUAUCGUUAUGCACAAGAAGAAUCCUCUCUGUCUUGUAGCUACCAAAUAUAUGUGAUUUACAAGUACUUGUGCUAUGCCUAAAUAAAAUAAUAAAAAUAAAAAAUCGAAUGUGUAUGAAUAAGAAAUUGUACUUGCUUAUAAAGAAUUUAUUUAUGCAAAUUCGUCUGUCCAGAAUAAUUGAUGUAUCCUCUGUCUAACAAGUUUUGCAUGUCCCUUUUUUUUUUUCUUUACCAAAAAAUUUUUAAAAUAUUUUUUGUAAACGUACCUAUCCAUCAUGUUGUGGACCAAGAUCUCCCUUUCAUUUUAAUAAGUACAUCAUUUCUCUCUCCGUAUUUUCAAAACCUAUCAAAGCUCUCUUGCUGUUAAAAUAAAAUAAAAUGUUAUCUUUUAAGUUUGUCUUUUUUUUUUUUCCAUGAUCAAUGAUGAAUUUUACAUCAAGGAUAAAAAAGUAGAAGACGCGACAAUAAAAAACGACAAUUUGCAGCUUUUUUAACGUCAAUGAACUGGGAGUUUGAGUAUGUACAGGAGUUUCUAACAAUUUUCCCACGCGUAGUUAGUGUUUCUAUGAAGCUGUUAAUUAUCAAGUCAGUCAGAUAAACACUACAUGUUUGAUUAUAUAAUCAAAUAUUUUGGGGUUUGAUUACCCUUUUUUUUUUCCUUGUGUGUAAGCAUUUGGGUCUUAAUAUGAGGCUUAAGCAACACGAGGUUUCUCAUACAAAUAAGUUUCCUUAGUGGCUGCGAUUUGGUUUAAUUUGUAGAUUGCUUGAUGCGAGAUUAAAGAAACGAACAUACAAAGUUUCCUCAUUGCACUUCAGAUCUACCGUUGCGUUAGAUUUCAUCCGCAAAUAAUUAAAUGAUCAAUUAAUUUUUUUUUUUUUUAAGGAUAAGAGAAGAACAAUAUUCUUAAACUAAACAUUUCGUAUAAGAAAUUUAAUGUGUGCGCCAUUUUAUAAUUAAGGAUGGUAUAAGAACGAUGAUCAUGUUAUAUUGGUGGAGAAUAAUAAUUAUCGAAAUGACUUUACUUAUCUACUUUAGCAGGAGAAAUUAAAUCAGGUAAAUAUUAAUUUAGUUUUUAUAUUUUAAUUUAAAUGCACGCUUAAUCUUUAUAUAUUUAAAAACACCUCAAGAGUCAAGAUACCUCUGCUGUUAAAUAUAUUAUAUUCCUACACAUAUUUUUCUUUUCUUUUGCAAUAAUACUUUUGCAACAAUAUUCUUGCCUUAUUGAGGAUAUUAAUGGAAAGAAAAAAAAAUGUUGACUUAUUAAAUUAGCCUCAAAAGUAACAUAAAAAUUUCCAAAAAUUUUUAUGUUAUUAUUUGACUUGUAGGACUAAUUUGGUAAAUUAAUUUUUUGUAAAAUAACAAUAAAUGAAAUCUUUGCAAGGAUAUUAAGCAUGCUUUAACUUGCAUUAAUUUAUUUAUAAAUGAAUUAUUAGCAAGAUUAUUGCACCGGUACCCAAAAAAAACUAGUUCUUUCAUACUGAUUUUUUUUUUGUUAAUAUUCGAACAAAUAAUUAUUAUUAAUUUACUAAUUACAUUUUUAUAAGUAAAUUAAUUAAUGUCAAGAAUAUUAUUGUAAAAGUAAACAAAAAGUAAGGUAAGAAUGUAAAAUAUUUAACUAUAAAGGUGUUUUCAGGUAUUUUUAGAGUGAGCUUAUUUGAACCUAUUAAACUAUUUAUUAAACUCAUUUACGAAAUAAACUCACUAUUGAAAUUAAAAUUUUUAAUUUUUACUCUCUAAACUUACCUAAGUACCUAAUAAAGCCUUACUAAAUAAAAUUAUUAAUAAAUCAAAUUUAAUUAAACCCACUGUUUUGGUCUCUUCCUCUGUCCUUGUUCUUCUUUGUUUUGUAUUUUGUAUUCUUUAUUUAUCAGUCAUCAAUGGCUCAAAAGAGGGAGUAAUGAUAUUAGCCAUUGUCAAUUUGGUAUUUGCAACUAUAAUGGUCUUGAAAGUACUGUAAAUCUAUUGUAAUAUGAAGACUUGAUAAAUUAACAAUCAAGCAAGGCUUCAUAUUAACCAUACAAGGAAUUACAUAGCCUGAACAUAGAUGCUUAUUGCUCGCAUCACAACAAAAGCGAAAGAAGAAAUUCACAUCAAAUUAUGGAUCCUAAAUAAUCGAAUAAGAUUAAUCGUUUAACUUGGUUUUAAUCCUUUAUUGUUUUGGCAACCCCUAUGAAUUUAAGAGUAGUAUUUAUGAAUCUAUAAUUAUAACUUCAUUUUUUCCUAGUUAUUUUUUCUGUCCUUAAACAUAAUUGUGUUAAUGGAUAUUUUGGUAAUAAAAGCUUUUAUAAAAUAUUGACUUUAUAGAUUAUUUUGAUGGGUUUAAAUAGCCAUACUCGUAUUUUUGAAAUAUAAGUACUUAACAGACAUUUAAAUUAAAAUAUAAAAACUAAACAAAUAUUUAUCCAUUAAAUUAAAAAUUGUUCCAAAAUUUCACAUCUUGAGCGAAAAAUACCUCAUUAUUUUAUUCUCGUUAAAGUCAAUUCCACGAGAAUAUGGUUUUAGGAGAAACAUCAUAUGCACCACAUUAAUCAUACAAAAAAUUCAAUAACAUUUUGUCAUGUUUGUAUUAAAGAAAAAGAAAAUAUCAAAUUAAUGAACAGUUUUAUGUAUAUCAAAUAAAGUAUUGAUUGAUUGGAUUAUCACCAAAUCUAUAAAAGAUUUCCUAAGAAAGUCUAUGAAAGAAUUAAUACUAAAAAAAUUAAUUAGAUGCCGACAAAGGAGGAUCUGCAAGUCAUCUUAAUACUACACCUAAUACAAUUUUUUUCCAAUACUUAUGAUAAGAUAUUUGUGAGACCUUUAUUAGCUUUUAUCGAUCAACAUGUAUGAUAAGUAUUUCUGGUACCAUUAAUAAAUUCGCGAGGAAGAAAGAAAACAACAUUAAGGGUAAUUUUAGGAAUUUUCUCUUAGAAGAAUUAAACCGACUGUUAGAUUUGAAGGAGAUUCGAAAGUGAUUGAUUUAGAGAAACAUCAAAAGUAGCUUAUUAUUAUGCAACAAUUCUAUAGCAUCUUUGUCAGGAGUGCGUUUGUAUUGAAAAAUUGUCAAAUAAUUGGACAGUUAAUUAGAUUAAAUAAAGUACAGAUAUCAUAGUUUCAAUUAUUAAUUGUAUUACCACAUAUGUCUAAAGGGAAAUUUACAAAAUUAGCCAUAAAACUUUUACGUUUUUCAACUUUAACCCCCCAAAGUUUUUUCUAUCAUAACUAGCCAAACACCUUAUGUUUGGACUACAUUACCCUCAUCACUUUCAUCAAAUUUACAAAGCCAUGCCACUUUUUCAAUUCCAGUACAAGUAAAUACGGAUCUUCCUCAACAACUUAACAAACCUUCAUCACUCUCAACAAACUUCAUCAUUCUCAAUAAAUCAAUUGCAUAAUUGAAUAUAUAAUCAUCAAUGGGAGAGCUUCUUAAAAUUAGUUUAUGCUCUUACACAAUGUAAACCUUUAAUCUAUUGAUUUUAUCAACUAAGUUCGAAAUUAAAGUGGGUUUUGUUGCAAAUAUUGUUAUUUUUCAUUAAUAAAACAAUGUGAUUUGUUAAAGUACUUAGUUUGAGUUGAGAAAUGAAGAAAAAUCAUUGAAAACACAAAAAAAUCGGGCAAAAAAUGAAGUUCAGAACAAGUGAGACAUGCAAGUGGGACAGGUGCCUGUCUCACAUAAACGCACUGCAUUUAUGUGCGACAGGCACCUGUCCCACUGCUUGUCGCACAUAAACCCACGGAUUUUAUGGAGUACAUGAUUUUGGAUUUGAUUUGUCUCGUCGUAAGCUUCGAAACGGUAUAUUAUACGCCUAAAACGAACAUAUAUAGCUUAAGUUAUGGCUUUCGAAACAUAUAUGAAAUUUAGUGAGACAGGCAAGUGGGACAGGUGCUUGUCGCACAUAAACGCACUGCAUUUAUGUGCGAUAGGCACCUGUCCCACUGCUUGUCGCACAUAAACUCACGGCGUUUAUGGAAUACAUGAUUUUGGAUUUGAUUUGUCUCGUCGUAAGCUUCGAAAUGGUAUAUUAUACGCCUAAAACGGACAUAUAUAGCUCAAGUUAUGGCUUUCGAGACAUAUAUGAAAUUUAGUGAGACAGGCACAUGUCCCACUUGUCUGUCUCACUAAAUUUCAUAUAUAUUUCGAAAGCCAUAACUUGAGCUAUAUAUGUCCGUUUUAGGCGUAUAAUAUACCGUUUCGAAGCUUACGAUGAGACAAAUCAAAUCCAAAAUCAUGUAUUCCAUAAAAUCCGUGGGUUUAUGUGCGACAAGCAGUGGGACAGGUGUCUGUCGCACAUAAAUGCAGUGCGUUUAUGUGAGACAUGCACCUGUCCCACUUGCAUGUUUCACUUGUUCUGAACUUCGUUUUUUGCCCGAUUUUUCUGUGUUUUCAAUGAUUUUUCUUCAUUUCUCAACUCAAACUAAGUACUUUAACAAAUCACAUUGUUUUAUGAAUGAAAAAUAACAAUAUUUACAACAAAACCCACUUUAAUUUCGAAUUUAGUUGAUAAAAUCAAUAGAUUAAAGGUUUACAUUGUGUAAGAGCAUAAACUAAUUUUAAGAAGCUCUCUCAUUGAUGAUUAUAUAUUCAAUUAUGCAAUUGAUUUGUCGAGAAUGAUGAAGUUUGUUGAGAGUGAUGAAGGUUUGUUAAGUUGUUGAGAAAGAUCCGUAUUUACUUGUACUGGAAUUGAAAAAGUGGCAUGGCUUUGUAAAUUUGAUGAAAGUGAUGAGGGUAAUGUAGUCCAAACUUAGGGUGUUUGGCUAGUUAUGAUAAAAAAAACUUUGAAGGACUAAAGUUGAAAAACGCAAAAGUUUUAUGGCCAUUUUUAUAAAUUUCCCAUGUCUUAAAUAGGUGUUCAUUUCAUUUGUACAGUUGUUCUCGUUACUAACUACAUGGCAUGAUAAGACAUUUGUGGGGCUCAUUAAUUUUUUUGUAAAGUUUCUUGUAAUGCUAACGCUUGAUAAGAUUGGCAGAAAUUAUUAGUUUCUUCAUUUUAUUAAUUGAGUUGAUUUAAAAAUGAGUUCUAUGGUGAAUUACUACCGUUCAAAGUUAACUAUGAUUAUAAGGGUAGUGCUUUGAUCUCCCUCAAUUAAGUAUGAUUGUUUGUAAUUUAUUUAUAAGUAUUUCUCUCUUACGAAAUACGAGUGGAGUAGAGAUAUCUCUCGUCUGUGAGAGGUAUUUGUCGGGACAUGUACUCUAUAGAAUUUAAUAUAAUAAUGUAAGUCUGAGUUAUAUAUCUGAUUGUAAAUAUCAGUGUAAUGAUCUGCUGUUAUAGCAAUUGUAAAUAUCUAUAUAAUACAAUAAUCUGAUAUAUAAUCAAUAUUAAAAAAAAUGAGUUCAGAUAAUGAGAAAAUCAUGAUAUGUGAUAAGAUUCCUUUUAGACAAAAAAAAAAAAAAAUCAUGUGUAAUGAGAUACAUAUGGGACCAUCACUAAAUUUUUGGGGAAAAAAAUAAAAACAUUAACCAAAAUGUUAGGCAUCCACUUUUAGAAGAUUUUUUAUAUUAAGUUAACAUCUAUUUUUAGAAGAUCUUUUAAUAUUAAGUGUUAUAUUCAAAAGAGAUUUUUGGAGAAAAAAAUAAAAACAACAUUAACCAAAACGUUAGGCAUCCACUUUUAGAAGAUUUUUUAUAUUAAGUUAACAUCUAUUUUUAGAAGAUCUUUUAAUAUUAAGUGUUAUAUCCAAAAGAGAUUCGACAAAGACUGAUAUAAAGAUAAAUAUCUAAAAUAUCGCAUUAAUCAUACAAUAAGUUAAUCACAUUUUUUCAAGAGUGCGGUUGUUUUGAAAAAUAACCAAAUAAAUUAAUAGUUAAUUAUAUUAAACAAAAUAUAAACAUCACAUUUUCACUUAUUAAAUAUAUUACCUUUUAUGUACAAAAGAUUUUCAAAAAAGGCCAGCAGAGGCGGACCUAUAUUCAUUGGUUUGAAGGCAACUGCACAUAAAAAGUCAAUUUCCAUUAGUUUCCUAUUAAUUUUUGAAAAUAUUAUCUUUGAAUGGGGGCAAAUUUAUAAAUAAAUUUCCCAUUAGGGUGUCAAUUUUAUAAAUUAUUAUUAUUAUUAUUAUUAUGAUAUUGCUCCCUAUGAAUCGACUUCCUAAAUCUGCUUUUGCCAAAGAGACGAAGGAAUUAAUCUAAAAAUUUUUCCAUGGUAUAGAUAUUUGAAGGUCUAAAUAAAUGUUCAUUAAUUGUACAAUUUAUUUCACCUGAUACAAUUUUUUCAAUGCUAAUUCAUAUGAUAAGCCAUUUAUGGGACUUGCAUAAACAUUUUUUCUAUUUCUAACAUUUGUGAUAAAGAUAUCUUGGAAAAAGAAAACAUGUAUGAUAGCAAUAUGACAUGAGAUUUUUUUAAAAUUAGUACAAUUUAUAUUAGCACUUGAUCCUUGAAUGUUUAAUAAUAAUAAUAAUAAUUUUCCCUCGAGAAGUCUAACAACUGUAAAAGUAAAAAUAGAGAUGUUUUGGGUAAUUUUUUAAAACACAGAAACUAAUUAUUACUAUUACAGACUAGCAAAGACUACACUCUUAUUAUGGUAAGACAUUUGUAGGACCAAUUAAAUAUUUUGCUCCUCAAUGCUAACUAGUAUGAUAAGACAUUGUAAGACCUAUUAAUUUUAUUAAUGCCAGUACACUUUCUUAUGACGCUAAAAUGUGUGACAAGAUAGUAAGAUACCUUUUCAGAAAAAAAGAAAGAAAAAGAAAAAAGUCAGAGGAUGUUUAAUAAGAUAAACAUGGGACAAUUACAAAUUUUGAAAAAAAAAAUGAAAACAACAUUAAUCGAAAUUUUAGGCAUAUAUUUCUAAAAGAUCUUUAAACAAAUGUUACAUUUAGAAGAUCAGAUUCAAAAGAGAUUGAUUUAAAGAGAAAUAUGGGUGUAAUUGUGUUAGUCAUAAAACAAUUUAAUAACAUUUUCUUUAUUCAUAUGACAACAACUAAUGAUAUUUUUUCAAUAGUGCUUUCUUUUUGAAAAAUUAUAAAGUAAAUGGAGAGUUAAUUAUAUUAAACAAAAUAUACAUGUCAUAUUUUCACUUAUUAAAUGUAUUGCUUUUUAUUAUAACAGAAAUUGGAAAAAGGCGACGAAACUAAGGAAUUAAUUUAAAAUUUUCUGUGGUAGAAUUUGAAGGUCUAAGUAAGUGUUCAUUAAAUUGUACAUUGUAUUUCGUUAAUAUAAUUUUUUUUUCAAUGAUAACUAUUAUGAUAAGACAUUUUAUAGACCCGUAUUAAACGUUUUUUUUUCGAUGCUAACAUGUGUGAUAAGAUACGUUUAAAGAAAAAAAAUUGUGUGUGACAAGACAUACAUGAGAUCAUUACUAAAUCCGGGGGAAAAAAAACAAACUUAGGCAUCCAUUUCUAGAAGAUUUAAAUCAAGUGUUACAUUCACGGGCGAUUCGAAGGAGAUUGAUUUAAAAGAGAAAUAUUGGAAGUAUUGCGUUAGUCAUAUACACAUUUAAUCAUAUUUUUUUAAGAGUGUGCUUGUUUUGAAAAAUUGUCAUAAAUACACAUUUGUUUUGAAAAAUUAUCGUAAAUGCACAAAUGGCACAAGAUAUUUAAAGAUUAGCACGGUAUAAAUUAACACGGAAUUCAAAUUUAUUUUCAAUUUCAGUAAUCUUUCUUUUUCAAUGACUAGAACUGAAUGCUUAAAUGAUUUGUGUACUUACUCUUUUUACAAGGUUGUGAUUAGUGGUUGUUAGAUAACAAUAUAUAUGAGAUUAAAUUUUAUUCAUGUAUUACUAUAAAUAUACACAUGACAUAAGAUCUUUAAAAAAUCAGCAUAAUACAGAUUCAAAUUUAUUUUCAAUUAUUGCAUGUUUAACUUGUUGGAAGUUUAAGUUAUACAAGACAAAAAAAAAGUAUUUUUUUCCUCGAAAAGUCUAACAAAUUUAGAAGUAAAGAUAGUGUUGUUUUGGGUGAUUUAAAAAAAAUAUAAAAAUGAAUUGUAUAAUUAACCACGACUCUACAGGCUAACGAAGGAUAUACCCCUAUUAUUAUUACACCUUAUACAAUUUUUUUCAAUUAUAAUACGAAUGAUAUACCCCUAUUAUAUAUAUUUUAGUGGCUUAAAAUACAUCAACUAAUUAAUAUAGGAAGGAAGGUUUCUUCAUCUUCCCUCACCAAUGCCACUAGGAUAUAAUUUUAAUGCCAUAAUCUCAUAUUUAAUUAUGCAACAUUUUGUUUAAUGUCUUUUGACUUCUUCAAACUCUAUAAACAUUAAGUAUUUAAGAUUUGUUAUGUUUGAGUUUUUUUUUUAAGUAUUUAACCAGCAUCCUCUUUAGAAAUAUUAUUGUGUUUUUAUUUUUUGACUUAUUUGAAUUUUUAGUAUUGUAUGCCUCAUGGAAUACUCUUUUCUUCAUGAGUUGAACAAUGAUAAAGAUAGUUGAAUGAUAAAUGUUAGGUUUUGUAGGAUGUGGGAGUUUGUUAAUACCAAGAAGAAUGGAGAAUUGAUUAGUGUGAACAUAAUUUUUAUUGAUGAAAAUGUUUUAUAAAAAAUUCUUCUCCCAUUGUUUCUCUAAUUUUUUUCUCAAUUGUUUUACACUUAAUGUAGCUUUUUUUUUUUCAAUAGGAAAAUCUAAUGCAUGCAACAGUUAGAAAAAAUUUAGUGACAAAGUUUAGGCACAUGUUGAGUGAAGGUUCUUUGUACAGUGUCAAGAAUUUGAAAAUUGUUUCAACUAUAGACGAGUACGAACCACUUUCAAAUCAGUAUAAGAUUAUUUUCUUGAUUAUAACUUCACUUAAGAGGUUAGAAGAAGGAACUGUUAAGAUUCCGAUCAAUGGAUUCUAAUUCAUAUCUUCGAAUUUGAUUGAUAUACGCCUCUCAUGUAUUUUUUUUAAUUAUUAAUAUUUGUUAAUCUUUAAGUGUAUAUUAGAGAUUAUUGAUCCUUAUAUUUUAACAUGUUUAUGUUGUUUUUCUGUAACAUUACAGAUGUUGUCGGAAGUUUAUGUGGUGUGGGUGAUAUUGAGAUCGUUGGAGCUGGUUGGAAAAAAAGAGAUAUAAAAGUUCUAAUAGAUUAGUAAGUUGAAUAUAAUUUAGAACUUAUCAACAAGACAACAACUACAAAAGGUAUAAGGUCUGUACAUUUACACUAUACACAUUAAUAUAUAUUUUUAAAGUUAACAAAAAAAUAAUUAAAUUUCAUAAAUAACAUUAGUUUUAUAAGGCUGUCUCAUCUUAAAAAAAAACCAAUUUAUAUUUUUUAUCAAUUUCAUCAAGUAUAAAAUAAGAAAAAAGGAUAAUACUAAAUUUUUUUUUUCAAAGCCGCGCGAAGCACGGUUCUAUUUCCUAGUUUAGAAAUAAAGCUAGUGAAGUUUUGGGUGAUUUAAAAAAAUAUAUAAAUGAAUUGUAUAAUUAACCACGACUCUACAAGCUAACGAAGGAUAUACCCCUAUUAUUAUUACACUUGAUGCAAUUUUUUUCAAUUCUAAUACGAAUGAUAAGAUAUAUUUAUGAAACCAAUAUUACUUAACAGUAUGUAAUUAAUACAACCAAAAUGUCUACGGUGAAAUGGGGCCAAAAAUAUAAAAUUUAAUAAAAAAAUAUUAUAUUAUAUUAUUAAAUAUUUUAGCACAUAAAAAGGUGAAUGUUUAAAACUUUCUCUUUUUUUUUUUGGUUGAAAAUUUUCUCAAUCUACAAAUAUCUUACAAUAUGAUAUUUUAUUGGGACACUGAAUAUAUUCAUUAUCCAAAUGUUGACGGAAAUAAACUCCUAAUAAGAAUGGAACUCAUGCACUUAAACGUUGAUUGUCGAGGGCGUGAACUAAAGGCCAAUGACAAGAAUGUUUGAAACUUGAAAUAGGAUUUGAGUGCCUUUAACAAUUGAAACCUUUCAAUCGGGGGUAAAAGGAGAAAAAAAGACAAUUGAAAUGGCAGGCAAUAAAAAUACAAUGACGAAAAUGAUAAUUCUUUAGUGUUUCUACAACAGAAUUUAGAAAGUUUUAGGUGGGAUGUUUUUGUAAUACAAUAAGAAUAUUGGUGUAGUUUUCUGAUAUUUCAACCUAAGAAAUUUCAUCUGCACGUGGCUAUUGCCAAGCCACGUGAUAAGUGGCUCUCCGUUUCUGGCUUACUGCCUAUAUAUAUAAUAAUGUUCCCAUCCUCCAUGCAAGGGAAGUAAGGGUUACAAUUGAAAUUGCUUCCUUACGCUCUUUUCUUUUCAAUCAUUAGUAGUACCAUAAGCUCCUAGAAGAAAAAAAGAAAAAAAUGUCUGAGGGCAGGGAUUUUAAUCGCCGGACAGCAAAUUACCACCCUAACAUUUGGGGGGAUCGUUUCAUCAACUACAAUGCAGAAGAUGAGGUACGUACAAUGCGUAAUUGGGAUUUUUUUGUUUUUGUUUUUCAACAAUUUAAAAAAGAAAAAAAGAAAAAUCAAUCAACAUCUUAUGUUAAUGUCUGCAUUGUAAUUAAAAAAUAUAUACUUCAAUGCACUAAAAUAUGAACAUUGUAUUAAAAUUUAUAUUCCUAGCCUUAUGCAGACGUCCCUAAAGGGCAAUUAUUUAUAUAUAUUAUAAGCAUGUGACUAUAUGUAGUGAAUGCGGAAAUGCAGAUUUAUCAUGGGGCUCAAUCGCAAGAAAUUGAAGAACUCAAGGAAGAAGUGAGAAGGGAACUACUGGGCAGUGGUGUUGAUUCUUUAUCACGGCUGAAACUUAUUGAUGCAAUCCUGCGUCUAGGCGUGGGAUAUCAGUUUGAAAGAGAGUUAGAAGAAGCAUUACAGAAUCUCUAUGAUGCAUUUUCCAAUCAUUUUUAUAAUAUUGAAGAUAAUGAUCUUUACCACGUUGCACUUCGUUUUCGAAUUUUAAGACAACGUGGAUACAAAGUUUCAUGUGGUAAGCUUGUUCAAAUCAUGCAGCUUCUUAGACUUUUAAGAUUAUGUUUGAUAUAACUUUUCAAAUAAAAUUUAUUUAAAUAGAAUUUUUACAAGUAAAGUUUUUGUUUAAAAAUUUUUAAUUGUUUAGUUAGCAAUGAAAAUUUUUACUGAAAAUUAUAAAAUAAUUUUUACAAGUAAAGUUUAUACUUAAAAAAUUUUAAUUAUUUAGUUGGCAAUGAAAAUUUUUAUUAAAAAUUAUAAAAUUAUUUUACCAGACAAUUUUUUAAAAGUUGUGUUAUGAAAAAAAUUAAAUAAGAUUGUCAAAUAAAUAAAAAUAUUUUAACAUUUAAAACAAACUUUUCAACAUCUACUUUCAAAAUAAUUUGACAUUUUCUUAAUGGAGACAAAAUAAUUUAUUUAACCUUUAAAAGUUCUGCUAAAAAAAACCAAACAAUAAUAAUAAUUUUUUUAUAAGAACUAAUAAAAUUAAAUAAGCACUUAUAAUCAUUAGAGAAACUAUACCAAAUAAGUUAUACACACACAACAUGUUACGCACGGCAGAUGCAUGUGCACACAUGAUGAAUUUGUAUAAUUUGUAGAACACGCGAAGUUGUGGUAUCAUAUCAGGUAAUAAUCAACUAAUAAUCAUUUCCAUUUAUUUUAUAUAUGAAUCAGAUAUAUUCAACAAGUUUAAAGAUGGCAAAGGCAAUUUCAAGGAGUCCUUGAAAAUCGAUGUGUCAGGGAUGUUGAGCUUGUACGAAGCAGCCCAUCUGGGCGUGCACGGAGAAGAUAUUCUGGACGAGGCUAUUGCUUUCACGACUGCCCACCUUCAAUCGUCCAUGGCUCCACAAGUGAUUCACGCUCUACGGCAGCCCCUGUACAAAGGCCUGCCGAGGAUUGAGGCCAGGUUUUUUAUCUCUCUCUACCAAGAGCAUGAACCUUUGCAUAACAAAGCUUUACUGAAGCUUGCGAAGUUGGAUUUCAACCAAGUCCAGUCAUUGUACAAGAUUGAACUUAGCGAAAUCUCAAGGUCACCUCCCGAUCAUAGCCUUCAUGUUAUUAAUUAAUAAGAAUCUAUAUACACACAAGCAUGCCUACACACACAUUGAGAAUACACAAGACAAGACGUAUAUGAUUAAUAUAUAUGCUAAUUAUUUAAAUAUAUAACUGCAUGCAUGCAGGUGGUGGAAGGAUUUAGACUUCGCUAGAAAGCUACCUUUCGCAAGAGACAGAGUGGUCGAGUGCUACUUUUGGAUAGUGGGGGUUUAUUUUGAGCCUCAAUAUUCACUUGCUAGAAAAUUGCUAACCAAAGUAAUCUCCAUGACAUCCAUCAUAGAUGAUAUCUAUGAUGUCUAUGGCAUACCUGAAGAGCUCGAUCUCUUUACAGCAGCAAUUGAUAGGUUUAAUUUGUUACUAUCUGGUGUUAAUCCUAUAUCAGCUGACAAUUAAUAGUCUGCUUCUUGGACAAAGUAUAAGAGGAAAUUUAGAAUAUAUCAGAUGCAACACAACCAAUCAAUGCACGUAUGACAUGUGUAAUUGAACAUAAUAUAAUCACCACUUACAUGAUGAUUUUUCAAAAUAAAUACUCACAUGUCACAUCAUCAUUUUUUUUAUUGUAUGGCUAACGUGAUACAUCAGAUAUAUUAUAGAAUUUCUUAAAGUAUAGAAUAAUUAAUUUUAUAAAAAAGUACUCUUUUAAUCCUUAUAAUAUGAGAUAAUUAUUUAGUUAGUCCAUAUAUUUUAACAAUUUAUCCGAGAUAUCAUUGUAGUACAUCUAUUUCAAUUAAAGUUUAUUACUCUACUUAAAUAAUAAUAAUAAUUAUAAUUAUUAGAUGCAUGUCAUACUUGUUUGAAGUUUAAGUAAUAUCCAACAACUAUGGAAGAAUGACAAAGAUAUUUUAUGUAUAAUUCAUGAGUAUAAGCUGGUCUUAAUGGACUUUUUUUGUAUAUUAAGGCUCAAAUUACCGAAAACAUUAAUAGAUUACAUUUAAUUGAGUUUAACAUUAUAUGACAAUUUGCAACACAUAAUUGUUUACAUAUAAACCUAACGUUGGAUUAAAGAUCCAACAUUUUUUGGUAAAUCAAAUACAUUAGUUAUGUCAUCAGUAGUAUGUGUCAAAUCAAGAAUGAGUUCCUGAUUCAGGAAAAUAACCGGGUGGCUUUUGAGUUUCAGGUGGGAUGUGAGUUGCAUCGAUCAGUUGCCAGAAUACAUGCAAACAUUUUAUGUGGCAUUGUUAGAUCUUUACAAAGAAAUUGAGGAAGAGUUGGCAACGAAAGGAUGGUCAUACCGAGUCCACUAUGCAAAAGAAGAAGUAAAUCAAUAUUACUUAUAAAAGUUAAUCAAGGAUAUAAGAUUUUCCAUCAGAAUUUUGAUCACGACAGUAUUAAUUGAUCAUUUGUGACAUUGAAUCCAUGGCAGAUGAAAAUUCUAGUUCAUGGCUACCAUGAUGAAUCUAAAUGGUUCCACAACAAUUACGUUCCUACAAUGGAGGAGUACAUGCGAGUGUCCCUAGUAACCUCUGGUUACUCUAUGCUUACAGCAGCAUCUUUUCUUGGUAUGGACGGUGUAGUGACAAAGGAGGCCUUUGAUUGGGUGUCUGGUAAACCUAAGAUUAUUAGAGCCUCAACUAUAAUUGGAAGACUCAUGGAUGACAUCAAAUCACAUAAGGUACGUAUACGUUACGUACAUACAUGUGCUUAUAAAUUAUAUAUCACUUUAGAAUUUGGAUACACGUUAAUCAACACACGUGAUGUGGUUACUUGCAUGUACAGUUCGAGCAAGAAAGAGGACACGCGGCGUCGGCUAUCGAGUGCUACAUGAAGGAGAAGGAGCGCGAAGGCGUGAGUGUGACAGAGCAAGAGGUGCAUGAAGAGUUAUAUAAGAAAGUUGGCGAUGCAUGGAAGGAUAUAAAUGAAGAGUGUCUCAUGCCCACCGAGGUGCCAAGGCCUCUCCUCAUGCGAGUUCUAAACCUAUCAAGAGUAAUUGAUGUCAUCUACAAGGAGGGUGAUGGCUACACCCAUGUUGGCCAAGUGAUGAAAGAUAAUAUUGCAUCCGUGCUCAUACAUCCAGUUGCUAUUUAAGAAUAAUCUCGGGCCUGCCAGAACCCGAAUCGCACUUCAUACCCAAAUAAAUGUGUGUAAAAAAUAAGAGGCCCAGUCAAGAAUAAAACUUUAUCAUCUGUUUUUCUUUGAAGAUUGCUACUGCUAUCAUGAAUAAUCGACUAUUGAAUUUGCAGAAUUUUUGUUUUAUUAUCUAGUUUUUAUAAGCUAUCCCUUAAAAAAAUAUAUAUUGUUGCAAGCAAACCCAAAAUAUUGUUGAAUUAAAGCCAAAAUUACUAAAAUUAAACUUAAAAUUUCAGUAGCCAACAAUUAACAAAGUAGAAGGUAAAAUUUUCCAUUUUAAUAUAAACACAACAUCGGCCUAACACCCUGCCUUAGCCUCGGCCCAAAGACACAAUCUGGGGCCAGCGGUGCAAGUUGGGUUUAGGCCGAGGAUGUCGUCCAGGCCCAAGUCGCAUCAACCCAACACUUCGGUACAUUUUUAUGAUUUUAUCCCUUAAAUACGGUUUUUAAAACCAGUGACUCUACAGAUUAUCAAUUGGACAAUGUUGCCCCACAAGUUUUCCUAUUCUGAAUCUAAGCUUGUUAUAGUUUCGUGUGGAAUUCAGCAAACCUCCGGAAUCGAAAUCACCUGCACUCAUCAAGUAUCAUGCGAAGCGAACAAUUUUCAUUUUCAAUCCAAACAAUAUCUUAGAUAAAUUCUAAAAUAUAAUCAUAAUUGGGGAAAAAAAAAAAGAGUCAGAAAUCUCGUGUGGAUAGUGCCGCUCAUAGCACCAUUAAAGGCAAUGGUGCUGCGUUCGCACGAUGAUAUCAUCACUCUCUUUCUCUAAAAGUGAAAUGAAGAAAAACAAAGAAGUUAAGCCACACACAAAAUUUCGUACCCCUUGAGCUCCAUGAGAAAAUCUCUUCAGCCAAGCAAAACUAUCAUAGGAGGGCCCUUUUAUAGGGCGCUUAUCUGGUUGCCCUAAUUUACACAGCCCGAUCGUCUCGAUAGGGUCAGCGAAUGAAUGAAACGACGCCGUUAAAUAAACGGGUAACUUAAAAUAUCCUGUGUUCGCGUUUUCUUUGGGCGUGCAAACCCAAAUUGAAGCCCAAGACAUAUUUAUACUCAAUUGCUAAAAAGUCCCCGUUUCAGAAAUUAAUAUUGCAAAAGAGCCUCCAAAGUCCAACCUGGUCAAACCCAUUAACCCAGCCUGCCAACAAGUCCCAAUGUGUAAAAUAAAUUUAAUAUCCGGGUAAUCGUGUCAAUUUGGUAAAGGUAGUGGGUAGAAAAGUGCAAAUUUAAUUGUUAUUUAAACGAAUACCAAGUAGGGUUUAGCCUUCCAGCUCUAGAGCACAACGAGUCAGUCGCCGCAGCAGCUCAGGUUCCCUCUCUGCCCUCUCAAUCUAUCUUCUGCAAAUGUUUGGUUACUGAGAAUGUGAAGGAAAAGAAAAAAAAAAAUGAUUUUCUCGGUAACCAAAUAUCGAUUAAAAACUAUUACAAGAUAUGAUUACGUGUAUGUACAUUUGUAGUUUUCAUAUAUAUUGUUCUCAAACAACUAUGAAACUGUUAGCUUUUAAUAUUGUUCGCUGGAGUUAGCGAUCAGCGUUUGCCUGAUCUGUGGUUCUGUGUUUCGUAUGGCCAUUCAUAAUGUUUAGGCCAUUGUUAUUGCGUGAGUUGAGAUCAUUUUAUUUGGAUAAGAGAUAUUAGGAAAUUAAUAUUUUUGUUAUUGUUAUAUUUGCAGAGGAGAAGAAUGUCUCACAGGAAGUUUGAGCACCCAAGGCAUGGUUCCCUUGGAUUUCUUCCAAGGAAGCGAGCUGCUCGUCACAGAGGAAAGGGUAUGAUGUUGUUUUGUUAUGGCAUUAAGAGCUGACAAUCUUAUUCAUAGAGUUAGUUUUAUUGGAUAUGGUAAUUUGUUUGUCUUGAGUAGUUUUGUUUGCUUCGGUGCUUUUUGCAGUGAAGGCUUUUCCCAAGGAUGACCCAAGCAAGCCUUGCAGGCUCACUGCCUUUUUGGGUUACAAGGCUGGGAUGACCCACAUUGUUAGGGAUGUCGAGAAACCUGGAUCUAGUAAGCUUUUGUGAAGCUUUGAUUGAGUUAUUCAUAAUUCCUAGUGACUACAAUUUGGAUGACUAUUUUGUGUUUUUAACAUUCAUUUGGAGAAAAGAGGUUUUGAAAAUUUGACAUUCCUGUACUAUUAAGAUAUAAUAUCACUAAAUGUGAUGUGCAAUGUCAUUCUUCUGGCUUAGCAAACAGAAUAGUAGCAUAUUAUUUGCAAAUUUAAUGAUUUGUGUCUGUUUGAUUGUUGUUUUUUACUAUUAAUUCAUGGUUCUAUCCUGGAUAACAAACUCUUCAGUAUUUCUUUGCAAAUAUUUUGGUUUCAAAAAAUUAAUUCGUUGAUGUAAUUUUUUUUUCCUUUUCGGUAGUGUUAUAUUUAGAUUGUGCAAUGUUUUGUAUCCAAUUCGACUGCAAUUUUGGAGUUCUUAUAGGACUUUAUUAUCCAUGAUCUUGUAAUAUUAGGUGAAGAAUGUUUUUUUUUUGUUGAAAAUUCUUAUCUUAACAAUAUUUGCUUCUUUUCACCUUUAGAGCUUCACAAGAAGGAGACCUGUGAGGCUGUUACCAUUAUUGAAACCCCUCCAAUGAUGGUGGUUGGAGUUGUGGGAUAUGUGAAGACACCUCGUGGUCUUCGCUCUUUGAACACUGUAUGGGCUCAGCAUCUUAGUGAGGAGGUGAGAAGAAGGUUCUACAAGAACUGGUGCAAAUCCAAGAAGAAGGCUUUCACAAAAUACUCAAAGCAGUAUGAAACAGAUGAAGGGAAGAAA